RNAcentral lists this ribosomal RNA (253 nucleotides) under uncultured bacterium. RNAcentral's name for it is "partial 16S ribosomal RNA". It matches the Rfam family "Bacterial small subunit ribosomal RNA", at positions 524 to 776 of the family's 1533-position model. The record is from RNAcentral.
UACGUAGGUGGCAAGCGUUGUCCGGAAUCAUUGGGCGUAAAGAGCGUGUAGGCGGCCCGGUAAGUCCGCUGUGAAAGUCGGGGGCUCAACCCUCGAAUGCCGGUGGAUACUGUCGGGCUAGAGUGCGGGAGAGGCGACUGGAAUUCCUGGUGUAGCGGUGAAAUGCGCAGAUAUCAGGAGGAACACCGGUGGCGAAGGCGGGUCUCUGGGCCGAUACUGACGCUGAGGAGCGAAAGCGUGGGGAGCGAACAGG